GGAUGAACCCUUGGAGAGACUCGAAAUAGAGCACCGAAGGAGCAAACCGCAAGGCGAAACUCUCAGGUAAAAGGACAGGGGAUAGGUA
RNAcentral lists this non-coding RNA (88 nucleotides) under Clostridium magnum. RNAcentral describes it as "Glycine sequence". It matches the Rfam family "Glycine riboswitch aptamer". Rfam says of the family: This family represents the bacterial glycine riboswitch. Glycine riboswitches usually consist of two metabolite-binding aptamers domains with similar structures in tandem. The record is from RNAcentral. RNAcentral also lists the same sequence under 1 other name. Lineage: Bacteria; Bacillati; Bacillota; Clostridia; Eubacteriales; Clostridiaceae.